UACCGCUGCGAGGUGUCUACAGACGCGCCAGACUUCCAUACGGAGGUGGUGUCGGCUCAUCUACAAGUCCUAGGUAAGUCCAGGGGGAUCGUGUGACGUUAAUCAGUGUAGACAAGUCCCUCACCAGCAAGUACCGCUGCGAGGUGUCUACUGACGCGCCAGACUUCCAUACGGAGGUGGUGUCGGCUCAUCUACAAGUCCUAGACACCCCUGUAGGACUACCCCAAGUGGAGGUGGAGAAGAUGAGCUACGCGGUAGGAGAUAUCCUGAGAGCCAACUGCACUUCACCUUGGAGCACUGUGCCGCUCAACCUCACCUGGCUCAUCAAUGGUGUCAAGGUCAACGAGAGUGACUAUGUAGACCUGGCAGAUGAUGAGACUACUAACAGCACCACAGUAGCACUACACACCGAGGUCUGCAAGGGUGGU
This is a long non-coding RNA of Macrosteles quadrilineatus (aster leafhopper), 428 nucleotides long. RefSeq lists it as uncharacterized. The record is from RefSeq and is a predicted model, not a curated record. NCBI's taxonomy places the organism in Eukaryota, Metazoa, Arthropoda, Insecta, Hemiptera, Cicadellidae. The transcript has 3 exons.